RNAcentral lists this ribosomal RNA (253 nucleotides) under uncultured bacterium. RNAcentral describes it as "partial 16S ribosomal RNA". It matches the Rfam family "Bacterial small subunit ribosomal RNA", at positions 524 to 776 of the family's 1533-position model. The record is from RNAcentral.
UACGGAGGUGGCAAGCGUUGUUCGGAAUUACUGGGCGUAAAGGGCGCGUAGGCGGCUUGGCAAGUCAGAUGUGAAAGCCCCGGGCUUAACUCGGGAAUUGCAUCUGAAACUGCUUAGCUUGAGUUCUGGAGGGGGUAGUGGAAUUCCCAGUGUAGCGGUGAAAUGCGUAGAUAUUGGGAGGAACACCAGCGGCGAAGGCGGCUACCUGGACAGUAACUGACGCUGAUGCGCGAAAGCUAGGGGAGCGAACGGG